RNAcentral lists this ribosomal RNA (465 nucleotides) under uncultured bacterium. Its description in RNAcentral is "partial 16S ribosomal RNA". It matches the Rfam family "Bacterial small subunit ribosomal RNA", at positions 29 to 507 of the family's 1533-position model. The record is from RNAcentral.
ACGAACGCUGGCGGCGUGCUUAACACAUGCAAGUCGAACGGAAAGGCCCUGCUUGCAGGGUCCUCGAGUGGCGAACGGGUGAGUAACACGUGGGUGAUCUGCCCUGCACUUCGGGAUAAGCCUGGGAAACUGGGUCUAAUACCGGAUAGGAGCCAUUUUUAGUGUGAUGGUUGGAAAGUUUUUUUCGGUGUAGGAUGAGCUCGCGGCCUAUCAGCUUGUUGGUGGGGUAAUGGCCUACCAAGGCGGCGACGGGUAGCCGGCCUGAGAGGGUGGACGGCCACAUUGGGACUGAGAUACGGCCCAGACUCCUACGGGAGGCAGCAGUGGGGAAUAUUGCACAAUGGGCGCAAGCCUGAUGCAGCGACGCCGCGUGGGGGAUGACGGCCUUCGGGUUGUAAACUCCUUUCGCUAGGGACGAAGCUUUUUGUGACGGUACCUAGAGAAGAAGCACCGGCUAACUACGUG